CCUACGGGAGGCAGCAGUGGGGAAUAUUGCACAAUGGGGGAAACCCUGAUGCAGCGACGCCGCGUGAGUGAAGAAGUAAUUCGUUAUGUAAAGCUCUAUCAGCAGGGACGAAAAUGACGGUACCUGAGUCAGAAGCCCCGGCUACCUACGUGCCAGCCGCCGCGGUAAUACGUUGGGGGCAAGCUUUAUCCGGAUUUACUGGGUGUAAAGGGAGCGUAGACGGCAGUGCAAGUCUGGAGUGAAAGGCGGGGGCUCAACCCCCGGACUGCUCUGGAAACUGUACGGCUGGAGUGCAGGAGAGGUAAGUGGAAUUCCUAGUGUAGCGGUGAAAUGCGUAGAUAUUAGGAGGAACACCAGUGGCGAAGGCGGCUUACUGGACUGUAACUGACGUUGAGGCUCGAAAGCGUGGGGAGCAAACAGGAUUAGAUACCCUGGUAGUC
This 440-nucleotide ribosomal RNA is filed under the name uncultured bacterium. RNAcentral's name for it is "partial 16S ribosomal RNA". It matches the Rfam family "Bacterial small subunit ribosomal RNA", at positions 338 to 795 of the family's 1533-position model. The record is from RNAcentral.